GCAUGCGUAGUUCUGCUCAGCCCAUCACUUCCUGGGAAGUGCUAGGCCUAGCAGCAACAAAUGGGACGGAAAAUGUGCAACAUCUCACACCCCAGCCCUUAGUCGCACCAAUGGUAGGAGCCGAGGAUAAAAGAAGACAUUGGUCUCAGCCACAUCCAUGGAGGUAACCAGCUGUCGGACGUAGGCACGGUCAUCAGUAGUGACUUCAGCUCCAGGCUGCAGGACAUCACUCUUCAACACACAGUUCAGUAAUCUACAGUGGCCAAGAAUUCAUAAGAGCCCAACGAUAGCUCAGGACGGUCAUAAGCAUCCACACGUUUGCCGGUAUUUAUGACACUGAUCCUCCCCAUCCCUGGAUAUCUGUGACAUCUACCAGUGUCUCAACUAGAUGCCAUGCUACAGAUAAGAGACCAGCAGCUAAAUGUCUAACCAUCCCCACUGAGAUCCAGAGAGAGAGAACACAGAGCAAGACAGAGAAGCAAGAUGUAAAGUGAGCCAGUUAUAGAGAAAUCCACUCUAAAUUCAUUAAGCCAGGCAUAAACAGACUUUCCUGCCAAAGCCUGGCAGAGCAGCUGACAAGUUCUCUCUCUCUCUUUUCUUGCUGAUUUCAGGUAUUGAGGUGAAAAAUCAGGGCCCAAGCCAGAUAAGAGAAGGACUAUUGGACCCUGAUCUACCUUUUUCCCUUAUAUGAUUUCCUAACAUUCCCUAACUCACCAGGGAUGUUAGGACAGUAUAGAAUAAAAAUAGAAUAAUGUACCUGUAAUCAUCUGGAGAUGACCGUAAGGCUUCUGCAUUCAGCUGUCUCCUCCCCUACAAGUUGGCCCUGCCUCUUUUCAGUUUAUUUCCCAUAUGGACCAUGCUCCCACCCAACAACUUCUUGGGCUUUUACUCUCAUCACAACCACACCCAUCAGGCAUGGGCCCUUGGGUAGAAAGCUAUUGAGAUACUCUCCCUUCCUGCCCAACCAGGACUUCUU
Panthera uncia (snow leopard) is the source of this 976-nucleotide long non-coding RNA. RefSeq lists it as uncharacterized. The record is from RefSeq and is a predicted model, not a curated record. The transcript has 4 exons. NCBI's taxonomy places the organism in Eukaryota, Metazoa, Chordata, Mammalia, Carnivora, Felidae.